CCACCAUCGGAAUAUUUGCGUUCCCUACCCUGGGAUAAGCGGGAAGGGAGAACCGGAGAGGCUUAUCACAUUGAUGCAGCGUGUCAAUGAGGGGGAAGCAGUGAUCCGACCCCCACACAGCGUGCAGAUUACUCCACCCACUCAACUAGGCCUUCAUUUCAUCUGGACCACGUAUGAAAAUAUGUAUUACUCAUUAUGACAUUUAAAGAGUGUAAAAUAAAAACAAAGAAUGACGACCCAAGACUUCAAGCUAAAGAUGAUGUGGAUAAGCAAGAAACGAGUAUAUUCUCGUUCCUCAUAAGCUCAUGGAGAAUAUAUACUAUCUGGUGAUCAUCCUACACUGCCUCUGCAACACACCUUGCAGCAUGGCUAGAUAAAAGGCCGCUGGAGCCCGAAUAGCCACACUCGUCUCCGGACUUGACCAUCCAACAUGAACUUGCUGAGUAUAUUGCUGUUGGUCGCGGCGGCGGUGGCUAGUGUAAUGGCCCAGCAGAAGCCAACUAUUUUGCUGGAGAACCCAUCUAACCGGCAGAAUCCAAUGUGGGUGCAGCCUCCACGUUUCCACUACCGCGGUUUCAACCGCCCUCAAAUGGCUGCUCGUUGGCCGUGACUGUCCACACACUUCUGCAGAAAUCUGGUCAUGACGAACUGCUGGGCCCUUGAUAAGCCAACCUUCACUCGAUAUAUGACAAAAUAAGUAACAUGGUUGAAGAAGAUACAUGAUAGAUACACUUCCAAAUUACUCAGUGAAACUUAUCUAGUAUACCGCAAUGUUUCCACUUCCACUGAAUUCACCUUUUGUAAUAUCAAGAAAUAUAUACUAUAUUCA
This is a long non-coding RNA of Portunus trituberculatus (swimming crab), 829 nucleotides long. RefSeq lists it as uncharacterized. The record is from RefSeq and is a predicted model, not a curated record. NCBI's taxonomy places the organism in Eukaryota, Metazoa, Arthropoda, Malacostraca, Decapoda, Portunidae. The transcript is spliced from 2 exons.